Molecule: ribosomal RNA, 253 nt
Filed under: uncultured bacterium
Lineage: Bacteria
Description: partial 16S ribosomal RNA
Rfam family: Bacterial small subunit ribosomal RNA
Source: RNAcentral
UACGUAGGGUGCAAGCGUUAAUCGGAAUUACUGGGCGUAAAGCGCGUGUAGGCGGCCCGAUAAGUCCGCUGUGAAAGUCCAGGGCUCAACCCCGGGCCUGCAGUCGAUACGGGCAGACUAGAGUGCGGUAGGGGAGACUGGAAUUCCUGGUGUAGCGGUGAAAUGCGCAGAUAUCAGGAGGAACACCGGUGGCGAAGGCGGGGCUCUGGGCCGUAACUGACGCUGAGGAGCGAAAGCGUGGGGAGCGAACAGG